Molecule: long non-coding RNA, 302 nt
Organism: Lutra lutra (Eurasian river otter)
Lineage: Eukaryota; Metazoa; Chordata; Mammalia; Carnivora; Mustelidae
Exons: 3
Source: RefSeq, a predicted model, not a curated record
CUGGAAGAGGCAAGGAGGGAUUCUCCCCUGCAGAUCUUUGUAGGAUGGCCAUGUUUGGUUAAGAAGUAUGACAGAUGAGCACAGAUGUUUUGCAAAUAUUGCUGACAACAAAAAAUAUAAAACUACUGAGGAUACACAUUCUAAGGCUAUAGUCACACUGGAUGACAUCUCCAAAUUCUUGGUUGCCCUUUGAUACCUUUGCUGGGAAGUAUGGGCCAUAAGUUGAAAUUCUCCCUGCAAAGCAAGAAUCUAGCUAUUUGGAGGGUGCCUGGGUGGCUCAGUGGGUUAAGCCUCUGCCUUCA